AUGCAUUCCUCCGGUUGGAGCUCUUACCUGUGGGUGGAGGGGGUUGGUGCAGAUCCUUCAGUGCAGCUCCGUUGCAGAGUCAGCGGAUGGGCGCCUGCUGCUAUGGUCACCGCUCAGUCUCUGACCCGGCGUUCCUGUAGCAUCCCCAAACGGACCGGCAAGUCACAAAGGUUCAACUUCACACAAUCUAAGUUGUGUCUCAGCCUCCGUUUGGACGCAUGUCGGUGUGUCUGCAGGCUCCUCCUUGAAGUUUUCUCCGCCCUGUUCUUCUAUCUCGAUCCUUUGUCCUUUCAUCCAGGUCUUCAUCCCCCUUCUCACUAGAAGCGCAUUGAUGUGGAUUCUGGCUUCCUGACCAAAGAAAAAGGAUAAGAAGAGGGGAUAAAGAGCGGAUGAAGAGAGGAUAACAAGAAAGAGUAAUGAGUUCUGUUGAGAGAAUGAUUGCAGCUCUGUUACAGACUGGACAAAAACACAUAUUAAGUUAAACCUGUAUUUACUGUAAUAUAUGGUGCAGUGUAAAAAUUUACCUCCAGCUGGAGCUCCAGCUAUUAGGAAAUUGACACUUGGGACUUUUUUUGGAGUCAUUAUGUAUAACACAUUUGUAGCAAUUAGAUGAAGCAGUGGUUAAGUGAAUAACUUUGUAUCAGAGGAGGAAUUUUAGCCCGUUCUUUGCAGCAUUGAAGGGAUUAGUGGAUGGUUCAAAGUAACUGCAGACCAAGCUCAGAUCAUAANNNNNNNNNNCCCUUUACACUGUUAAGUAAAGAGGGGGAAUGUGGACUGAUAGUAUUUAAAAACCAUUUUUCCAUCUAUUUUUCUCCUUGACAUUCUGUCAGAUCACAUCUUAAUGUCUCAAACAUUUUUUUUUAGUAAAGUAACUGUUUAUUAAGGUUGUGGAUAAUGACCUAAAAAUAAAGAUGCCUUUGUUAGUUCCAUACAGCUACUGCAAUCCAUUUUUGUGGAAGCAGAAAAGUAGACUUUAGAUCUUGCAAAAAUUCCCAGCAUCUUUAAUUUUGCGAAGAAAAAUCUGAUGCAUAAUGACUUUUGUCUUUCUUUUUCAUUCAGGGCCUUCAAACAUGGAGAACAGAACCUUUAGGUGCACAUGCUCCUGAUAUGGUGUCAGCAUAUUCCAGUAUUACACAUAAAACCAGUGAACCAACCUCUUACAAGACGAUAUGACCUUGCUCUUACCUCUGUCUCAGCUUCUACCUCACAUAGCCUGUCUGGGAACACACACAUGGCCCUCUAACUAGCCUUCAGUGUGAAAGCAAGGAACCGGUUGCCAUGGAAACUGUCGUGUCAGAUAACCUACUUUUGCAAGUGCGAAAGACAUUGGCUGAUGAAAGAGCGAGAGGUGUAGCGUAUAAGUAGAGGUGAUGUGCUGGCGCUGUUCUUCCCUCUUACAUACCUGUAGUUCUGAUAAAUCUAGACUGAUUCAAGUCAUGAAGAUGCAGAACUAAUAAACGUUGGUAAAGGUACUGAUGUAAAUGUGGGUACUGAUAGAAGUGCAUCAGAGUAGAGAAAGAGCUGCAAAAAGAUGAGUGUUAAUCCUGACAAACAUUUCUCAAAGAGUUACAGACACAAUAGGGGCAAAUGAAAAUGAAUAACAAGAAAUGGACUAAAACUAAAACUAAAACUUUACAAAGAAAACAAAAGAAAACUCACGGACAAACGUUGACCUGUCUUGAUAAAAAUCAUGGAUGUACAUUUCAUCUACUCAAUUAACCAGUAGGAAAAAUGUGAUGCAGUAGGAAAUUGCUAUAAUUUCAAAAGUGAAGUUCAUGCUUUUUCCUUCCAAAAAUUCAUUAUCUCAUAAUAUAUGUAAUUUUAUGUAUUACACAAGAACACUGCUUUCUGUUUUGUGACAGAUCAUGCAUGUGUUGUAGAUGUGCAUAGUUAUGGCAUAUUAGUUGAAUCUCAGUCUAAGAGAAACCUCAGUUAUUGGGUAUUUCAGUAAAAAAGGAACUGAGCAGGACAUUAACUAGCUAUUAACAAUUCAAUUUAGUCAGUUAUUUACAUCAAUC
This is a long non-coding RNA of Oryzias sinensis (Chinese medaka), 2018 nucleotides long. Lineage: Eukaryota; Metazoa; Chordata; Actinopteri; Beloniformes; Adrianichthyidae. The record is from Ensembl.